AACGCGAAGAACCUUACCUGGGCUCGAACGGCUGGUCAACGGCGGUGGAAACACCGCUACCCCGCAAGGGGGUCCAGUCGAGGUGCUGCAUGGCUGUCGUCAGCUCGUGUCGUGAGAUGUUGGGUUAAGUCCCGCAACGAGCGCAACCCUUGUCCUGUGUUGCCAUCAUUCAGUUGGGAACUCGCAGGAGACCGCCAGCGAUAAGCUGGAGGAAGGUGGGGAUGACGUCAAGUCCUCAUGGCCUUUAUGUCCAGGGCUACACACGUGCUACAAUGGCCGGUACAAUGCGUCGCUAACCCGCGAGGGGGAGCCAAUCGCAAAAAACCGGUCUCAGUUCGGAUUGCAGGCUGCAACCCGCCUGCAUGAAGCUGGAAUCGCUAGUAAUGGCAGAUCAGCACGCUGCCGUGAAUACGUUCCCGGGCCUUGUA
Molecule: ribosomal RNA, 428 nt
Filed under: uncultured Acidobacterium sp.
Lineage: Bacteria; Pseudomonadati; Acidobacteriota; Terriglobia; Terriglobales; Acidobacteriaceae
Description: bacterial SSU rRNA
Rfam family: Bacterial small subunit ribosomal RNA
Source: RNAcentral